Magnolia sinica is the source of this 178-nucleotide long non-coding RNA. RefSeq lists it as uncharacterized. NCBI's taxonomy places the organism in Eukaryota, Viridiplantae, Streptophyta, Magnoliopsida, Magnoliales, Magnoliaceae. The transcript is spliced from 3 exons. The record is from RefSeq and is a predicted model, not a curated record.
GUUUUAAGUUAAGGUUAAGGUUAUAGGUUUAGGUUUGGGUUUAGGUUUUAGGUUUAGGUUUAGGUUUAGGUUUAGUUUAGGUUUAGGUUUUAGGUUAAGGUUAAGGUUUUAGGUUUAGGUUUAGGUUUUAGGUUAAGGUUAAGGUUAUAGGUUUAGGUUUGGGUUUAAAUUUUAGGUU